GCACCGGUAGCUCAGUCGGUAGAGCAGCUCCCUUUUAAGGAGACGGUCGAGGGUUCGAUUCCCCCCCGGUGCACCA
RNAcentral lists this transfer RNA (76 nucleotides) under Patescibacteria group bacterium. Its description in RNAcentral is "tRNA-Lys". It matches the Rfam family "tRNA". Rfam says of the family: Transfer RNA (tRNA) molecules are approximately 80 nucleotides in length. Their secondary structure includes four short double-helical elements and three loops (D, anti-codon, and T loops). The record is from RNAcentral.